UGGCUCAGAACGAACGCUGGCGGCAGGCUUAACACAUGCAAGUCGAAGCCCCGCAAGGGGAGUGGCAGACGGGUGAGUAACGCGUGGGAAUCUACCGUGCCCUGCGGAAUAGCUCCGGGAAACUGGAAUUAAUACCGCAUACGCCCUACGGGGGAAAGAUUUAUCGGGGUAUGAUGAGCCCGCGUUGGAUUAGCUAGUUGGUGGGGUAAAGGCCUACCAAGGCGACGAUCCAUAGCUGGUCUGAGAGGAUGAUCAGCCACAUUGGGACUGAGACACGGCCCAAACUCCUACGGGAGGCAGCAGUGGGGAAUAUUGGACAAUGGGCGCAAGCCUGAUCCAGCCAUGCCGCGUGAGUGAUGAAGGCCUUAGGGUUGUAAAGCUCUUUCACCGGAGAAGAUAAUGACGGU
RNAcentral lists this ribosomal RNA (407 nucleotides) under Agrobacterium tumefaciens. Its description in RNAcentral is "bacterial SSU rRNA". It matches the Rfam family "Bacterial small subunit ribosomal RNA", at positions 20 to 458 of the family's 1533-position model. The record is from RNAcentral. Lineage: Bacteria; Pseudomonadati; Pseudomonadota; Alphaproteobacteria; Hyphomicrobiales; Rhizobiaceae.